This 300-nucleotide long non-coding RNA is filed under the name Nicotiana benthamiana. Its description in RNAcentral is "long non-coding RNA (NBEN_LNC018284)". Lineage: Eukaryota; Viridiplantae; Streptophyta; Magnoliopsida; Solanales; Solanaceae. The record is from RNAcentral.
CCAUGAAUGGACCAUAAUAAUAUGUAUGUGCUAUAUAAAAUCUCAUGUCAUAUCGAUGACAUAUAUUACUUUCACAAAGUGAAGGAUUAUUUUGAGAAUCCUUAUUAUCUUCAUUAUCACAAUGAUGACGAUCAUAAUUUCGUCUAUUGCCACGUCCACAUCCAUUGAUACCUUCACGAUAAUAAUUUUGUCUUCUUUCAGACNNNNNNNUUCGUCUAUUGCCACGUCCACAUCCAUUGAUACCUUCACGGUAAUAAUUUUGUCUUCUUUCAGACUUAUCACAUACUGCUAUCACAUUCU